GAGCUCAGCUGGUAGAACAUGAGUCCCUUUGAUCUCAGGGUCUUGGGUUCGAGCCCCAGGUUGGGCA
This is a non-coding RNA of Podarcis lilfordi (Lilford's wall lizard), 67 nucleotides long. The record is from the annotation of a GenBank genome assembly. NCBI's taxonomy places the organism in Eukaryota, Metazoa, Chordata, Lepidosauria, Squamata, Lacertidae.